CUUAUGAAUCUUUGUUUGGUCUAUAUCAAAUUAAUCAAGUAAUAUCACCAUUGAAGACUUGGAAGUGCAUAGGAUAAUUUCUGAAUAUGGCAAGGCCUGACUCAAACUAUGCUAUUUUGAUAGAGUUCUGCUGUCAUGAGUAGCAUAAAGUGAAAUGUGUAUAUUUUAGGCAAGGAAUUAACCAUUUGAAAUGAGCUUUGUUUACUUAAGUGAAUGAUGUAUUAAUAUGAUGUGAACAUAGAAGUUUAAAAACUUGGAGGAUUGUUCUUUGUGCGUGCAAUAAGUUCCGACAAAGUUGAAGAACUUUAGUCUCAAAAUUCAAAGGCUUAGAGAAAAAGUCAGACCAAUAUUAGACGCAACAAAAUUGACGAGGAUGUACAUCCUUAUCACCCUUUAUAUCAUUGAUUUGGUUUCUCAACUUUCUUCUGGGAUUACUACUAAUUUAUGGCUGCUGACUGG
Molecule: unclassified non-coding RNA, 459 nt
Filed under: Hevea brasiliensis (rubber tree)
Lineage: Eukaryota; Viridiplantae; Streptophyta; Magnoliopsida; Malpighiales; Euphorbiaceae
Source: RNAcentral